CAGUCGCCACGGGAAUACGGGGGGGGCAAGUGUUAUUCGGAAUGACUGGGCGUAAAGGGCACGUAGGCGGUGAAAAGGGUGGAAAGUGAAAGUCGCCAAAACACUGGCGGGGUGCUUUCUUGACCAUUUCACUUGAGUGAGAUAGGGGAGAGUGGAAUUUCGUGUGGAGGGAUCAAAUCCUAAGAUAUACGAAGGAACGCCAACCGCGAAGGCAGCUCUCUGGGUCCCCACUGACGCUGGGGUGCGAAAGCAUGGGGAGCAAACAGGAUCAGAUACCCCAGUAGUCCCUGUCUUUUAUACA
RNAcentral lists this ribosomal RNA (301 nucleotides) under uncultured bacterium. RNAcentral's name for it is "partial 16S ribosomal RNA". It matches the Rfam family "Bacterial small subunit ribosomal RNA", at positions 509 to 810 of the family's 1533-position model. The record is from RNAcentral.